This 460-nucleotide ribosomal RNA is filed under the name uncultured bacterium. RNAcentral describes it as "partial 16S ribosomal RNA". It matches the Rfam family "Bacterial small subunit ribosomal RNA", at positions 338 to 795 of the family's 1533-position model. The record is from RNAcentral.
CCUACGGGAGGCAGCAGUGAGGAAUAUUGGUCAAUGGGCGAGAGCCUGAACCAGCCAAGUCGCGUGAAGGAUGACGGCCCUACGGGUGGUAAACUUCUUUUGUCAGGGAGCAAUUGGGUCCACGCGUGGGCUUAGCGAGAGUACCUGAAGAAAAAGCAUCGGCUAACUCCGUGCCAGCAGCCGCGGUAAUACGGAGGAUGCGAGCAUUAUCCGGAUUUAUUGGGUUUAAGGGUUGCGUAGGCGGAAUAUCAAGUCAGCGGGAAAAAUUCGGGGCUGAACCCCGUCGUGCCGUUGAAACUGAUGUUCUUGAGUGGUCGAGAGGUAUGCGGAAUGCGUGGUGUAGCGGUGAAAUGCUUAGAUAUCACGAAGAACCCCGAUUGCGAAGGCAGCUUACUAAACUGUGACUGACAUUGAUGCUCGAAAGUGUGGGUAUCAAACAGGAUUAGAUACCCCGGUAGUC